AACGAACGCUGGCGGCAUGCCUAACACAUGCAAGUCGAACGAGACCUUCGGGUCUAGUGGCGCACGGGUGCGUAACGCGUGGGAACCUGCCCUUAGGUUCGGAAUAACUCCCCGAAAGGGGUGCUAAUACCGGAUAAUGUCUUCGGACCAAAGAUUUAUCGCCUUUGGAUGGGCCCGCGUUGGAUUAGCUAGUUGGUAGGGUAAAAGCCUACCAAGGCGACGAUCCAUAGCUGGUCUGAGAGGAUGAUCAGCCACACUGGGACUGAGACACGGCCCAGACUCCUACGGGAGGCAGCAGUGGGGAAUAUUGGAAAAUGGGCGAAAGCAUGAUCCAGCAAUGCCGGGUGAGUGAUGAAGGCCUUAGGGUUGUAAAGCUCUUUUACCCGGGAUGAUAAUGACAGUACCGGAAGAAUAAGCUCCGGCUAACUCCGUG
This 433-nucleotide ribosomal RNA is filed under the name uncultured bacterium. Its description in RNAcentral is "partial 16S ribosomal RNA". It matches the Rfam family "Bacterial small subunit ribosomal RNA", at positions 29 to 507 of the family's 1533-position model. The record is from RNAcentral.